GCUACACAUGCAGUCGAGCGGUAACAGAAAGUAGCUUGCUACUUUGCUGACGAGCGGCGGACGGGUGAGUAAUGCUUGGGAACAUGCCUUGAGGUGGGGGACAACAGUUGGAAACGACUGCUAAUACCGCAUAAUGUCUACGGACCAAAGGGGGCUUCGGCUCUCGCCUUUAGAUUGGCCCAAGUGGGAUUAGCUAGUUGGUGAGGUAAUGGCUCACCAAGGCAACGAUCCCUAGCUGGUUUGAGAGGAUGAUCAGCCACACUGGAACUGAGACACGGUCCAGACUCNUACGGGAGGCAGCAGUGGGGAAUAUUGCACAAUGGGCGCAAGCCUGAUGCAGCCAUGCCGCGUGUGUGAAGAAGGCCUUCGGGUUGUAAAGCACUUUCAGUCAGGAGGAAAGGUUAGUAGUUAAUACCUGCUAGCUGUGACGUUACUGACAGAAGAAGCACCGGCUAACUCCGUGCCAGCAGCCGCGGUAAUACGGAGGGUGCGAGCGUUAAUCGGAAUUACUGGGCGUAAAGCGUACGCAGGCGGUUUGUUAAGCGAGAUGUGAAAGCCCCGGGCUCAACCUGGGAACUGCAUUUCGAACUGGCAAACUAGAGUGUGAUAGAGGGUGGUAGAAUUUCAGGUGUAGCGGUGAAAUGCGUAGAGAUCUGAAGGAAUACCGAUGGCGAAGGCAGCCACCUGGGUCAACACUGACGCUCAUGUAC
Molecule: ribosomal RNA, 710 nt
Filed under: bacterium ocme08sprp769
Lineage: Bacteria
Description: bacterial SSU rRNA
Rfam family: Bacterial small subunit ribosomal RNA
Source: RNAcentral